This 118-nucleotide non-coding RNA is filed under the name uncultured Victivallis sp. Its description in RNAcentral is "FMN riboswitch (RFN element)". It matches the Rfam family "FMN riboswitch aptamer (RFN element)". Rfam says of the family: The RFN element is a highly conserved domain that is found frequently in the 5'-untranslated regions of prokaryotic mRNAs that encode for flavin mononucleotide (FMN) biosynthesis and transport proteins. This element is a metabolite-dependent riboswitch that directly binds FMN in the absence of proteins. The record is from RNAcentral. Lineage: Bacteria; Pseudomonadati; Lentisphaerota; Lentisphaeria; Victivallales; Victivallaceae.
GUCUUCGGGGCAGGGUGCGAUUCCCUACCGGCGGUGAAAGUCCGCGAACCCGUCCGCAGGGCGGGCCGAUCCGGUGGAAUUCCGGAGCCGACAGUGACAGUCUGGAUGUGAGAAGGCG